This 1470-nucleotide ribosomal RNA is filed under the name uncultured Bordetella sp. RNAcentral's name for it is "partial 16S-23S ribosomal RNA intergenic spacer". It matches the Rfam family "Bacterial small subunit ribosomal RNA". Lineage: Bacteria; Pseudomonadati; Pseudomonadota; Betaproteobacteria; Burkholderiales; Alcaligenaceae. The record is from RNAcentral.
UUUGGAUUAUGGCUCAGAUUGAACGCUGGCGGGAUGUUUGACACAUGCAAGUCGAACGGCAGCACGGACUUCGGUCUGGUGGCGAGUGGCGAACGGGUGAGUAAUGUAUCGGAACGUGCCUAUGGGGAUAACUACGCGAAAGCGUAGCUAAUACCGCAUACGCCCUUCGGGGAAAGCGGGGGACCUUCGGGCCUCGCACUAUUAGGAGCGGCCGAUAUCGGAUUAGUCAGUUGGUGGGGUAACGGUCAUUACCGCGACGAUCCGUAGCUGGUUUGAGAGGACGACCGCACACACUGGGACUGGAGAUACUUGGCCCAGACUACGGAGGCAGUGGGGAAUUUUGGAAGGUAAUGGGGAAACUCCUGAUCCAGCCAUCCAAGCGUGUGCGAUGAAGGCCUUCGGGUUGUAAAGCACCAGUGUGGAAAGAAACGGCACGGGAUAAUACCCCGUGCAACUGACGUACCUGCAGAAUAAGCACCGCUAACUACGUGCCAGCAGCCGCGGUAAUACGUAGGGUGCAAGCGUUAAUCGGAAUUACUGGGCGUAAAGCGUGCGCAGGCGGUUCGGAAAGAAAGAUGAAAUCCCAGAGCUUAACUUUGGAACUGCAUUUUAACUACCGAGCUAGAGUGUGUCAGAGGGAGGUGGAAUUCCGUGCGUAGCAGCAAAUGCGUAGAUAUGCGGAGGAACACCGAUGGCGAAGGCAGCCUCCUGGGAUAACACUGACGCUCAUGCACGAAAGCGUGGGGAGCAAACAGGAUUAGAUACCCUGGUAGUCCACGCCCUCUAAACGAUGUCAACUAGCUGCUGGGGCUCUCGGGCCUUUAGUAGCGCAGUUGACCAGUGAAGUUGACCGCCUGGGGAGUACGGUCGCAAGAUUAAAAACCAAAGGAAUUGACGGGGACUCCGCACAAGCGGUGAUGAUGAUUAAUUCGAUGCAACGCGAAAAACCUUACCUGUUCUUGACAUGUCUGAAUCCCGAAGAGAUUUGGGAGUGUCAGCAGAGAAACCGAACACAGGUGCUGCAUGGUGUUGUCGUCAGCUCGUGUCGUGAGAGCGCGGUUAAGUCCCGCAACGAGCGCAACCCUUGUCAUUAGUUGCUACGAAAGGGCACUGAACAGAUCGCCGGUGACAAACCGGAGGAAGGUGGGGAUGACGUCAAGUCCUCAUGGCCCUUGGCGGUGCAGGGCUUCACACGUCAUACAAUGGUCGGGACAGAGGGCUGCCAACCCGCGAGGGGGAGCCAAUCCAAAACCUGGAUCGUAGUCCGGAUCGCAGUCUGCAACUCGACUGCGUGAAGUCGGAAUCGCUAGUAAUCGCGGAUCAGCAUGUCGCGGUGAAUACGUUCCCGGGUCUUGUACACACCGCCCGUCACACCAUGGGAGUGGGUUUUACCAGAAGUAGUUAGCCUAACCGUAAGGAGGGCGAUUACCACGGUAGGAUUCAUGACUGGGUGAAGUCGUAACAAGGUAA